This is a long non-coding RNA of Peromyscus californicus insignis, 247 nucleotides long. RefSeq lists it as uncharacterized. Lineage: Eukaryota; Metazoa; Chordata; Mammalia; Rodentia; Cricetidae. The record is from RefSeq and is a predicted model, not a curated record. The transcript has 3 exons.
GCUGAAAUGAGGCGGACUGGAGGCUGGUGAAGAGCCCUCACGCAGAGAGAGGGGAGGAGAGUAUCGGAAGGUCGGGGUGGGCAAGAUUCCAGCCAUAAGACCUCAGAGAGGAAACUAAGGACUCUGUGAGGGAGGAUGGCCAACUGAUGCGAGAAGAGCAGAGUCUUUCAUCAUUCUUUCAUCAGCAAUUUAGCUCUCGCCAGGGAUGCUUUUGGACGUCUUUAAACCGAGCGUCAUAGGCACGCUG